CGCGGGGUAGUUCAGUCCGGCAGAACGCCGGGCCCAUAACCCGGAGGUCGCCGGUUCAAAUCCGGCCCCCGCUA
Molecule: transfer RNA, 74 nt
Filed under: marine sediment metagenome
Description: tRNA-Met
Rfam family: tRNA
About the family: Transfer RNA (tRNA) molecules are approximately 80 nucleotides in length. Their secondary structure includes four short double-helical elements and three loops (D, anti-codon, and T loops).
Source: RNAcentral